UAUUCCCGAGGCGGGCAAAGUAGGUGCCGCGGCGCGAUGAGACGGCGAGGUGAAGCCGGAUGAGAAGUAGAAGACGUAGAAGAAGCAGUCGGUGGAGGCGAUGGAGCACGGGCAGGACGAGGAGAAGGAGGUGGAGGAGGAGGAGGAGGAGCAGGAGGAGCAGGAGGCGGUAGAAGAGAAGCGAGGAGUACAUAGAAGAAGGCGAGGAGGAAGCAGAAGAAGAAGCAGAGCUGCCACCGCGAUGGCAAAGAAGUAGCCGGCAAUCGACAUCAGUGUUCGGAGCGUAUGGAUUGGUCAUUACGAUAUUGGUGUCCCGGGUCGUAGCAUGCUAGGGCAAUUUCAGCAUAUCACAGUGUUUCCUUGCUGAUCAUGCUGAACGCGUGCGUUUAUUCAAUAAAUAUAUCGUAUGAUAAAUAAAAACG
Ooceraea biroi (clonal raider ant) is the source of this 422-nucleotide long non-coding RNA. RefSeq lists it as uncharacterized. The record is from RefSeq and is a predicted model, not a curated record. NCBI's taxonomy places the organism in Eukaryota, Metazoa, Arthropoda, Insecta, Hymenoptera, Formicidae.